UACACUUUGCUGCCUUUGUUGCA
This 23-nucleotide non-coding RNA is filed under the name Arabidopsis thaliana (thale cress). The record is from RNAcentral. Lineage: Eukaryota; Viridiplantae; Streptophyta; Magnoliopsida; Brassicales; Brassicaceae.